Molecule: ribosomal RNA, 465 nt
Filed under: uncultured bacterium
Lineage: Bacteria
Description: bacterial SSU rRNA
Rfam family: Bacterial small subunit ribosomal RNA
Source: RNAcentral
GCCCAGACUCCUACGGGAGGCAGCAGUGAGGAAUAUUGGUCAAUGGGCGCGAGCCUGAACCAGCCAAGUCGCGUGAGGGAAGACGGUCCUAUGGAUUGUAAACCUCUUUUGUCGGGGAGCAAAAGACGCCACGUGUGGCGUUCCGAGAGUACCCGAAGAAAAAGCAUCGGCUAACUCCGUGCCAGCAGCCGCGGUAAUACGGAGGAUGCGAGCGUUAUCCGGAUUUAUUGGGUUUAAAGGGUGCGCAGGCGGAAGAUCAGGUCAGCGGUAAAAUUGAGGGGCUCAACCUCUUCGAGCCGUUGAAACUGGUUUUCUUGAGUGAGCGAGAAGUAUGCGGAAUGCGUGGUGUAGCGGUGAAAUGCUUGGAUAUCACGAAGAACCCCGAUUGCGAAGGCAGCUUACUAAACUGUGACUGACAUUGAUGCUCGAAAGUGUGGGUAUCAAACAGGAUUAGAUACCCUAGUA